This 253-nucleotide ribosomal RNA is filed under the name uncultured bacterium. RNAcentral's name for it is "partial 16S ribosomal RNA". It matches the Rfam family "Bacterial small subunit ribosomal RNA", at positions 524 to 776 of the family's 1533-position model. The record is from RNAcentral.
UACGUAGGUGGCAAGCGUUGUCCGGAUUUACUGGGCGUAAAGAGCGCGCAGGCGGUCGUUCAAGUCGCGUGUGAAAGCCCCCGGCUCAACUGGGGAGGGUCACGCGAUACUGAUCGACUCGAAGGCAGGAGAGGGUAGUGGAAUUCCCGGUGUAGUGGUGAAAUGCGUAGAUAUCGGGAGGAACACCAGUGGCGAAGGCGGCUCACUGGACCGGAACUGACGCUGAGGCGCGAAAGCGUGGGGAGCAAACAGG